GUCAUUGGAAACAGGUGAGCUUGAGCUUGAACUGUUCUGACAUAAAAAUACUGUAAAUUCAUUUCUGUCUGUCUCAAGGAUAUAUGAAAGAUGUUGGGGACACGGGGUCAGAAGAAGUGGAUGUUCUUUGCCAACAACGGUGACUUACAGUGCAUAGAAGUCUUCCCCACUGUGCCAAAUUUGGUGACAACGUCAGGUUGAAAAAUUUGGGGGAAUUUUCACUUCAAGACCUUUGAUGGUCAUUUCUUACAAAUGGCUGACACAUGUAACCACAUUCUGGCAGUGAUGUGUGAUGCACCUGUCUCAGAUUUUAACAUCAUGAAUGUGAAUGGCUCAGGUACUUCAGUCACAGAGCUGGAGGGGACAUGACAUCCAUCAAAUUUAGUCAAGGCAACAUCUUCAUGGACGACCUGGUAUCUAUUCCCAUGAGUCAGAAUGAAAUUAACAUCGAGAGAGGCUCAUAGAGUGUUAAGAUCUCCAAAUAUGGAGUGACUGUUAUUUGGGAGGAAGGAGAUCACUGUAUGGUGGCUCUCCUCAUCAACUGCAAAAUCCUGAUGGUUCGCUCACCCCGUCUGUUGAUGGUGUCACCCUGGCGUUUCAAACCAAACUAAAAAAUCUUGGUGUCAUUUUUGAUGCGUCGCUGUCAUUUGAGCCUUUUGUUCAGAAGCUUUGGAACUCUCUUCCAGCUGACAUAAGUGAA
Long non-coding RNA from Misgurnus anguillicaudatus (oriental weatherfish), 700 nucleotides. RefSeq lists it as uncharacterized. The record is from RefSeq and is a predicted model, not a curated record. NCBI's taxonomy places the organism in Eukaryota, Metazoa, Chordata, Actinopteri, Cypriniformes, Cobitidae.